AACGAACGCUGGCGGCAUGCCUAACACAUGCCAGUCGAACGAAGGCUUCGGCCUUAUUGGCGCACGGGUUCGUAACGCGUGGGAAUCUGCCCUUGUGGUCGGAAUAACAGCGGGAAACUGCUGCUAAUACCGGAUGAUGACUUAAGUCCAAAGAUUUAUCGCCCAAGGAUGAGCCCGCGUAGGAUUCGCUAGUUGGUUGGGUAAAGGCCCACCAAGGCGACGAUCCUUAGCUGGUAUGAGAGGAUGAUCAGCAACACUGGGACUGAGACCCGGCCCAGAUUCCUACGGGAGGCAGCAGUGGGGAAGAUUGGACAACGGGCGAAAGCCUGAUCCAGCAAUGCCGCGUAAGUGAUGAAGGCGUUAGGGUUGUAAAGCUCUUUUACCCGGGAUGAUAAUGACAGUACCGGGAGAAUAAGCACCGGCUAACUCCGU
This 432-nucleotide ribosomal RNA is filed under the name uncultured bacterium. RNAcentral describes it as "partial 16S ribosomal RNA". It matches the Rfam family "Bacterial small subunit ribosomal RNA", at positions 29 to 506 of the family's 1533-position model. The record is from RNAcentral.